Molecule: unclassified non-coding RNA, 143 nt
Filed under: uncultured Exobasidium
Lineage: Eukaryota; Fungi; Basidiomycota; Exobasidiomycetes; Exobasidiales; Exobasidiaceae
Description: sequence contains ITS1
Source: RNAcentral
UUGAAUUGUUAAAAAUGGGGGAGUCUCGACUCCCUCUACAUUCUUUAUUCCUAACACCUGUGAAUCGUUGCUGAGUCCGCUCAGUGGCAACCUUUUUUACACACACAUAAUAGUUUAGAACGUAAAAACAAUAUAAUAAAAUA